GCUUGCUUAGCAGCGUGCUUGUACAGCGAUUUUUGCCCGUUAUGUUCUUAGCGUGAUGUGUGACAUAGGCGUUGGUUUUAUAAUCUAAAGGAUUUGUCUUCAAGUUACGACAGUGCGACAGUACAAUGAGCGCCAGCGGCCGGCGGGUGGGUGUUAUAGGAUUGCAGCUUGACUACAACUGUGGAGACCGCUUUAUAUCAAACCUUAAGCUGCUGGGGCUCAAAGGAAAAUAUCGAUCCAUUAUGUGCUAUUAAGAACAUCUCAAAUACUUUGUUGAAUGAUUCAAGAUGUCCACAAGGCAGUCAAGCAAGGGACCAAUCAACCAUGAAUUCUUUGGAUCUGCCGUUGCUGGGAGCAGCAAUCCUACAAAGGGGCACCGGUUACAUACAAGCUAACCUCUGUCCGAAC
This is a long non-coding RNA of Ornithodoros turicata, 408 nucleotides long. RefSeq lists it as uncharacterized. The transcript has 3 exons. Lineage: Eukaryota; Metazoa; Arthropoda; Arachnida; Ixodida; Argasidae. The record is from RefSeq and is a predicted model, not a curated record.